AUGCCUUUAAUGUCUGGGGACGAGGAACUCAAGUCAUCGUCUCCUCAGGUGCCUGGAGAUUUGGGACAAGAUGAUUUUGUCAACCGGGAGUGGAAUUCAUAUCUCUGUGACAACUAUGCUUUUGACCAAUGGGGACCAGGAACUUUGGUUACCGUAAGCACCGAACCCCCAAGUGCCCCUUCUCUUUUCCCACUCAUCCCAUCUGAGAAGAACUCAGGGAGUACAGACAUCGUCAUCGGAUGCCUCGCCAAGAAUUUUCUGCCAGAUGCAGUCACUUUCUCCUGGAAUAAUCCAAGCAACGAGAGUCUCAGCGCCGAAAGCUUCAAGAAAUUUCCUUCUAUUAGGAACCCGGCUGGGACAUUCACUGCAGCUUCCGAGGCUAAAGUCUCAUUGGAAAUAUGGAAUACAUAUAAACCAUUCUAUUGCAAAACUGACCAUUCGCAGGGGAACGGAGUGGUAGCAGUUGCUAAACCACAACCUCCAGGAGGCCCUCCCCCUGAGAUGCUUGUUCGGGCACCACCUCUUGCUGCAUUUUUAAGUAGCUACCUAAAUUCCACUGUCACCUGUGAAAUUAGUAACCUCUGCUCUCCAAACACUGAAAUCCACUGGUUUAAGGAGCAAACAGAAAUCACCAGUGACAUCACCACCAGCAAACCCCUCUUAAAUACUCGUGGUACAUACACCAUCUGGAGCCAACUCAUCAUCACCAAGGAAGACUGGUUUUCUGGCAAAAAGUUCAUCUGUGAAGCGAGAAGCACGGCAUACAAUCAUUCACAGGAGUUCAGCAUGCAAUCUUUUUGCAAAGAUCCCAUAGGGUGUGCAUCUGUUAAAGUGGAAACCAUCCCCCCAGCUUUUGCUGAUAUCUACCAGACCAACUCAGCCAAACUGACUUGCAGAAUCUCCAAUAUACCUAUUGACAUUUCAAACUUGAACGUCACCUGGACACGAAAAUCAGACCACAAGCAACUGCAUACUGCACUGGGAGAUUUGCAGGUCCAGAAAAACCAGAUGUUCUACGUUGAUGCUAUAGCUACAGUGUGUGCAACAGAAUGGAAGGAGGGUGAAACUUUUACCUGUAAAGUUACAUUUGAAGGCGUACUUGCAAACCCAGUAGAAAAAACCCUGGAGAAGGAGAGUGGCAGCACAAAACAUGCUCCUUCUGUCUACGUCCUUCCACCUCCAUCAGAACAACUGGCUUUGCGGGAAGCAGUAACCAUCACAUGCUUCAUUAAAGGUUUCUAUCCUGGCAACUUCUUUGUGCGAUGGCUCCAUAAUGAAGAGCCAGUCAAUGAAUCAGAGUACUACACCAACCAACCCAUAUUAGAGACCAAAACAUCGAACCAGUACUCUGCCUACAGCAUGCUGACCACCAACGAACAGUCAUGGAGUUCUGGAGACACUUUCACUUGCAUAGUGGGACAUGAAGCCUUGCCGUUCAGCACAGUGCAGAAGACUAUAGACAAGAACACGGGUAAACCAUCCAUAGUCAACAUCUCCUUAGUCCUCUCCGACGCCAUGAGCACUUGCUACUAAUUCUUAACCUAAUUUCUUUUAAGAAACCUUCAUUUGCCCUAUUCCUACCAGCAUGUGUUUCUCCUGCUUCAUUAUUGAUACUUUGGUGGAAGGUUCGCAGUGAUGAAGGCAGAUAUCUAAGGAAAGAUGUGGAAUGUUAAAGCAUUAGCUGGCCACAUCUUUUUGAAGAAAAUAAAAUUUUUGCAAUAAAGUAUUUUUCUCAAAACAAAGAAAAAA
Python bivittatus (Burmese python) is the source of this 1749-nucleotide non-coding RNA. The record is from the annotation of a RefSeq genome assembly. Lineage: Eukaryota; Metazoa; Chordata; Lepidosauria; Squamata; Pythonidae.